AACCUCCCUAACCUCCAUAACCUCCCUAACCUCCCUAACCUCCAUAACUUCCAUAACCUCCCUAACCUCCAUAACCUUCCUAACCUCCAUAACCUCCCUAACCUCCAUAACCUCCCUAACCUCCAUAACCUCCCUAACCUCCAUAAUCCUGCACGUGUACUCGCCCUCUCUGCCCCACCUCUACCCAGUCCCCCACUCCUCCCCUUGGCUCUGACUGCUCUGCCCCCCAGGGGGCUACUGAGUCUCCCUCUUGCUUCCUUCUGGGGGGCGGUGCUUACAGCCAUCUUCUCCAGCUCCCUCUGGGGCCUGUGUUGCUGAGCCCAGGGCCAAGGAGCUGGCUGAGUGUCUCAAGCAGAGGCUGUUGAAGUACCAGGUAACUGCCACUCUAUGUCGCCACCCCACGGAGCUAUGAAGUGCACGUGGCUGAGGGCUCCAUGAAGAAGGAGUUCCCACAGAACCUGGGAGGCAGCGACACGUGCUACUUCUGCCAGAAGCGGGUCUACGUGAUGGAGAGGCUGAGUG
Molecule: small RNA, 522 nt
Filed under: Pongo abelii (Sumatran orangutan)
Lineage: Eukaryota; Metazoa; Chordata; Mammalia; Primates; Hominidae
Description: processed transcript
Source: RNAcentral